UUUUCCGGUUGAUCCUGCCAGAGGUUACUGCUAUCGAGGUUGGGAUUAAGCCAUGCGAGUCGAAUGUAGCAAUACAUGGCGUACUGCUCAGUAACACGUGGACAACCUACCCUCAGGUCGGGGAUAAACCCGGGAAACUGGGUAUAAUACCCGAUAGAUCUCGGCUGCUGGAAUGCAUCGAGUUCUAAAGCUCCGGCGCCUGAGGAUGGGUCUGCGGCCUAUCAGGUAGUAGUGGGUGUAGCGUACCUACUAGCCUACGACGGGUACGGGUUGUGAGAGCAAGAGCCCGGAGAUGGAUUCUGAGACACGAAUCCAGGCCCUACGGGGUGCAGCAGGCGCGAAAACUUUACAAUGCCGGCAACGGCGAUAAGGGGACCUCGAGUGCCAGGUUACAAAUCUGGCUGUCGUGAUGCCUAAAAAGCAUUGCAUAGCAAGGGCCGGGCAAGACCGGUGCCAGCCGCCGCGGUAACACCGGCGGCUCGAGUGGUAACCGUUAUUAUUGGGUCUAAAGGGUCUGUAGCCGGCCGGAUAAGUCUCUUGGGAAAUCCAGCAGCUCAACUGUUGGGCUUUCAGGAGAUACUGUCUGGCUCGAGGCCGGGAGAGGUGAGAGGUACUUCAGGGGUAGGGGUGAAAUCUUGUAAUCCUUGAAGGACCACCAGUGGCGAAGGCGUCUCACCAGAACGGACCUGACGGCAAGGGACGAAAGCUAGGGGCACGAACCGGAUUAGAUACCCGGGUAGUCCUAGCCGUAAACGAUACUCGCUAGGUGUCGGCCACGGUGCGACCGUUGUCGGUGCCGUAGGGAAGCCGUGAAGCGAGCCACCUGGGAAGUACGGCCGCAAGGCUGAAACUUAAAGGAAUUGGCGGGGGAGCACCACAACGGGUGGAGCUUGCGGUUU
RNAcentral lists this ribosomal RNA (899 nucleotides) under uncultured Methanomicrobia archaeon. RNAcentral's name for it is "bacterial SSU rRNA". It matches the Rfam family "Archaeal small subunit ribosomal RNA", at positions 1 to 903 of the family's 1478-position model. The record is from RNAcentral. Lineage: Archaea; Methanobacteriati; Methanobacteriota; Methanomicrobia.